This 429-nucleotide ribosomal RNA is filed under the name Verrucomicrobiota bacterium. RNAcentral describes it as "Verrucomicrobia bacterium partial 16S ribosomal RNA". It matches the Rfam family "Bacterial small subunit ribosomal RNA", at positions 355 to 776 of the family's 1533-position model. The record is from RNAcentral. Lineage: Bacteria; Pseudomonadati; Verrucomicrobiota.
UAGGGAAUCUUCCGCAAUGGACGAAAGUCUGACGGAGCAACGCCGCGUGAGUGAAGAAGGAUUUCGGUUCGUAAAACUCUGUUGUUUGGGAAGACAAAAUGUAUAGUAACUAUAUACAAAAGAGACGGUACCUAACCAUAAAGCCACGGCUAACUACGUGCCAGCAGCCGCCGUAAUACGUAGGUGGCAAGAGUUGUCCGGAAUUAUUGGGCGUAAAGCGCGCGCAGGUGGUUUAGAAAGUCUGAUGUGAAAGCCCACGGCUCAACCGUGGAGGGUCAUUGGGAACUAAUAAACUUGAUUGCAGGAGAGAAAAGUGGAAUUCCUAGUGUAGCGAUGAAAUGCGUAGAGAUUAGGAGAAACACCGGUGGCGAAAGCGGCUUUUUGGCCUGCAACUGACACUAAGGCGCUAAAGCGUGGGUAGCAAGCAGG